RNAcentral lists this ribosomal RNA (253 nucleotides) under uncultured bacterium. RNAcentral's name for it is "partial 16S ribosomal RNA". It matches the Rfam family "Bacterial small subunit ribosomal RNA", at positions 524 to 776 of the family's 1533-position model. The record is from RNAcentral.
UACGUAGGUGGCAAGCGUUGUCCGGAUUUAUUGGGUUUAAAGGGUGCGUAGGCGGCCCUGUAAGUCAGUGGUGAAAUACUCCAGCUUAACUGGAGGGGUGCCAUUGAUACUGCAGGGCUUGAGUGGAGUCGAAGUAGGCGGAAUUGACGGUGUAGCGGUGAAAUGCUUAGAUAUCGUCAAGGACACCGAUAGUGAAGACAGCUUACUAGGCUUCUACUGACGCUGAGGCACGAAAGUGUGGGGAUCAAACAGG